GAUGAACGCUGGCGGCGUGCUUAACACAUGCAAGUCGAACGAUGAAGCCCAGCUUGCUGGGUGGAUUAGUGGCGAACGGGUGAGUAACACGUGAGUAACCUGCCCUUAACUCUGGGAUAAGCCUGGGAAACUGGGUCUAAUACCGGAUAGGAGCGUCCACCGCAUGGUGGGUGUUGGAAAGAUUUAUCGGUUUUGGAUGGACUCGCGGCCUAUCAGCUUGUUGGUGAGGGAAUGGCUCACGAAGGCGACGACGGGUAGCCGGCCUGAGAGGGUGACCGGCCACACUGGGACUGAGAGACGGCCCAGACUCCUACGGGAGGCAGCGGGGGGGAGUAUUGCACAAUGGGCGCGAGCCUGAUGCAGCGACGCCGCGUGAGGGAUGACGGCCUUCGGGUUGUGAACCUCUUUCGGUAGAGAAGAAGCGAAAGUGACGGUACCUGCAGAAGAAGCACCGGCUAACUACGUG
Molecule: ribosomal RNA, 466 nt
Filed under: uncultured bacterium
Lineage: Bacteria
Description: partial 16S ribosomal RNA
Rfam family: Bacterial small subunit ribosomal RNA
Source: RNAcentral